GACGAACGUUGGCGGCGUGCUUAAUACAUGCGAGUCCACUGAAGCAGUGGUAGCAAUAUCGCUGUGGAGGUGGCGCACGGGUGAGUAACACGUAGGUAAUCUGCCUUCAGGUCUGGCAUAACUCCGGGAAACCGGGGCUAAUAGCAGAUGAUGCAGCGGCUCGACAUCGAGACAGUUGUUAAAGCUAUGGCGCCUGAAGAUGAGCCUGCGUCUGAUUAGCUAGUUGGCGGGGUAACGGCCCACCAAGGCAACGAUCAGUAGCUGGUCUGAGAGGAUGAUCAGCCACACUGGAACUGAGACACGGUCCAGACUCCUACGGGAGGCAGCAGUAAGGAAUAUUGCUCAAUGGGAGAAAUCCUGAAGCAGCAACGCCGCGUGAGGGACGAAGGGCUUUUGCUUGUAAACCUCUGUAGUGAGAGAAAAAAAUCCCAAUCUUUGGGACAUGAUGGUAUCUCAAAAGUAAGCCCCGGCUAACUACGUG
RNAcentral lists this ribosomal RNA (481 nucleotides) under uncultured bacterium. RNAcentral describes it as "partial 16S ribosomal RNA". It matches the Rfam family "Bacterial small subunit ribosomal RNA", at positions 28 to 507 of the family's 1533-position model. The record is from RNAcentral.